This 115-nucleotide ribosomal RNA is filed under the name Danio rerio (zebrafish). Lineage: Eukaryota; Metazoa; Chordata; Actinopteri; Cypriniformes; Danionidae. The record is from RNAcentral.
GCCGGCAGUUAGCUCUCUGCAACUCUCACAUGGUUGCCCACUGAAGCUAAGCAGGGCUGCGCCCGGUCAGUUCCUGGAUGGGAGACCACAAGGGAAAGCUAGAUUGCUGCCGGAA